Molecule: ribosomal RNA, 254 nt
Filed under: uncultured bacterium
Lineage: Bacteria
Description: partial 16S ribosomal RNA
Rfam family: Bacterial small subunit ribosomal RNA
Source: RNAcentral
UACGGGGGGAGCAAGCGUUGUUCGGAUUUACUGGGCGUAAAGGGCGCGUAGGCGGUCAGCACAAGUCAGUUGUGAAAUCUCCGGGCUUAACUCGGAAAGGUCAACUGAUACUGUGCGACUAGAGUGCAGAAGGGGCAACUGGAAUUCUCGGUGUAGCGGUGAAAUGCGUAGAUAUCGAGAGGAACACCUGCGGCGAAGGCGGUUUGCUGGGCUGACACUGACGCUGAUGCGCGAAAGCCAGGGGAGCGAACGGG